Molecule: transfer RNA, 69 nt
Filed under: Scaphoideus varius
Lineage: Eukaryota; Metazoa; Arthropoda; Insecta; Hemiptera; Cicadellidae
Description: tRNA-Trp
Source: RNAcentral
AAGAUUUUAAGUUAAAAGUAAACUUGCAACCUUCAAAGCUGCAAAUAUCUAAGAUAAAGGUAAGUCUUA